RNAcentral lists this ribosomal RNA (253 nucleotides) under uncultured bacterium. RNAcentral describes it as "partial 16S ribosomal RNA". It matches the Rfam family "Bacterial small subunit ribosomal RNA", at positions 524 to 776 of the family's 1533-position model. The record is from RNAcentral.
CACGUAGGGCGCAAGCGUUGUCCGGAAUUAUUGGGCGUAAAGAGCUCGUAGGCGGUCUGUUGCGUCCGCUGUGAAAACUCGGGGCUUAACCCCGAGCCUGCAGUGGAUAUGGGCAGACUAGAGGUAGGUAGGGGAGAAUGGAAUUCCCGGUGUAGCGGUGAAAUGCGCAGAUAUCGGGAGGAACACCGGUGGCGAAGGCGGUUCUCUGGGCCUUACCUGACGCUGAGGAGCGAAAGCGUGGGGAGCGAACAGG